This 1419-nucleotide ribosomal RNA is filed under the name Campylobacter jejuni. RNAcentral's name for it is "partial 23S ribosomal RNA". It matches the Rfam family "Bacterial large subunit ribosomal RNA", at positions 1528 to 2925 of the family's 2925-position model. Lineage: Bacteria; Pseudomonadati; Campylobacterota; Epsilonproteobacteria; Campylobacterales; Campylobacteraceae. The record is from RNAcentral.
UUAUACAGGCAAAUCCGUAUAACAAUACUCCGAGAACUGAAAGGCUUUUUGAAGUCUUCGGAUGGAUAGAAGAACCCCUGAUGCCGUCGAGCCAAGAAAAGUUUCUAAGUUUAGCUAAUGUUGCCCGUACCGUAAACCGACACAGGUGGGUGGGAUGAGUAUUCUAAGGCGCGUGGAAGAACUCUCUUUAAGGAACUCUGCAAAAUAGCACCGUAUCUUCGGUAUAAGGUGUGGUUAGCUUUGUAUUAGGAUUUACUCCGAAAGCAAGGAAACUUACAACAAAGAGUCCCUCCCGACUGUUUACCAAAAACACAGCACUCUGCUAACUCGUAAGAGGAUGUAUAGGGUGUGACGCCUGCCCGGUGCUCGAAGGUUAAUUGAUGGGGUUAGCAUUAGCGAAGCUCUUGAUCGAAGCCCGAGUAAACGGCGGCCGUAACUAUAACGGUCCUAAGGUAGCGAAAUUCCUUGUCGGUUAAAUACCGACCUGCAUGAAUGGCGUAACGAGAUGGGAGCUGUCUCAAAGAGGGAUCCAGUGAAAUUGUAGUGGAGGUGAAAAUUCCUCCUACCCGCGGCAAGACGGAAAGACCCCGUGGACCUUUACUACAGCUUGACACUGCUACUUGGAUAAGAAUGUGCAGGAUAGGUGGGAGGCUUUGAGUAUAUGACGCCAGUUGUAUAUGAGCCAUUGUUGAGAUACCACUCUUUCUUAUUUGGGUAGCUAACCAGCUUGAGUUAUCCUCAAGUGGGACAAUGUCUGGUGGGUAGUUUGACUGGGGCGGUCGCCUCCCAAAUAAUAACGGAGGCUUACAAAGGUUGGCUCAGAACGGUUGGAAAUCGUUCGUAGAGUAUAAAGGUAUAAGCCAGCUUAACUGCAAGACAUACAAGUCAAGCAGAGACGAAAGUCGGUCUUAGUGAUCCGGUGGUUCUGUGUGGAAGGGCCAUCGCUCAAAGGAUAAAAGGUACCCCGGGGAUAACAGGCUGAUCUCCCCCAAGAGCUCACAUCGACGGGGAGGUUUGGCACCUCGAUGUCGGCUCAUCGCAUCCUGGGGCUGGAGCAGGUCCCAAGGGUAUGGCUGUUCGCCAUUUAAAGCGGUACGCGAGCUGGGUUCAGAACGUCGUGAGACAGUUCGGUCCCUAUCUGCCGUGGGCGUAAGAAGAUUGAAGAGAUUUGACCCUAGUACGAGAGGACCGGGUUGAACAAACCACUGGUGUAGCUGUUGUUCUGCCAAGAGCAUCGCAGCGUAGCUAAGUUUGGAAAGGAUAAACGCUGAAAGCAUCUAAGCGUGAAGCCAACUCUAAGAUGAAUCUUCUCUAAGCUCUCUAGAAGACUACUAGUUUGAUAGGCUGGGUGUGUAAUGGAUGAAAGUCCUUUAGCUGACCAGUACUAAUAGAGCGUUUGGCUUAUCUUUAAUAAAGCAU